CCUGAAUUCAUUCUUAUUUUUCCCCAUUCGUAGGCUGGUUAUCAAUAUUAAUGAAGAAACGGGUGAAAACCUGUAUAUUUUUUGCCGCUGAGACCUGGUGGGGAACUACUGACAAAUAUGUAGCACGAGAUAACCCACGGGGUCAGCACGAUCUAGAGGCUCACCGGGGGGGCCGGUGGAUCCGAAUGAGCCCUGACGGACGCGACGGGGAACCGGGCACUAAUUGCACAGAAGCAGACAGAGGGCUGACGUGUGAAAGAAAUGCGCCCGGUCUCCGGCCCGGAAGCUCUGGGUGCAAAUCCGUCAUUGACCGGGGAUGACCCUGCACUUCCCAGCCGUGUGACCUUGGCCAGGAAACCGCCUCCACCUGCCUUGGUUUGGAGCGGAGUCGGGGAUGCUUGCAACACGGUGGCCUCUUCCCAGGACGGUGACAUAGACCCAGAGGGCCACCCCCUGCAAAGGGCGUUUGCAGACCCCAGAGGGGCUCUGUGGAAUGUGAAUUAUUCUGAUCCCUUUGGCCUGUAGGGCUCCGGUCGGUGUAUCCCGGGCUCCUCGGGGGUCCGUGUAGGGUGGGGACUCCCGUUCCUGUAGCAGGAGCCUCCGGUACCACGUGUGCCUCUGCCAUUUGAAUUGUGCUGUGUUCUCAGGCAGUGAUGACCCUGCCAGCACAUGUCCUCAUGACUCUCACGUGGGGACAUUUUGCUCAAUAGUCGUUCACGGCGCCCCCUGUGCGGCCGGGGAGCCCCUCGUGGACGGGGACGCGUUCUCCGGGAAACCGAAUCAACACGACUCUGUUGCGAUGGACAUGGCGUGUGAGCAAAACCCUCCCGCGGAGGGGCAGGGUGCACGGACCUCGGGAGUCACCGGAUGUCAGCAGAGCGUCAACUCCUGCGUGUGCAGCAGGCGUCGCAUCAUUCGCCGCGUGGACCGACCACCCGGCCACAUGGAAAAAUCCUGGAGGCUGCCACUUAUAUAAUUUUUGACUAUUUUCAUUGUAACUGUGUUUUCUCGUCCCUCCGAGACGUGCCCUGGGAGUGACCCAGCUCCCCCUGCACCACACACACACAGACACACACACGGAGACACACACACACACCACAAUUUCCUCUCGGGGAGGCUCACCCGAGACCCACGCCAUGUCGUGUUGGUCGCCUUGCUUUCCCCGACUGACUAGCCCACAGGGUGUGUGUCUGUGUGCAUGUGUG
RNAcentral lists this long non-coding RNA (1205 nucleotides) under Canis lupus familiaris (dog). RNAcentral describes it as "lncRNA (ENSCAFG00845022399.1)". Lineage: Eukaryota; Metazoa; Chordata; Mammalia; Carnivora; Canidae. The record is from RNAcentral.